UUGAAUUUUUUUAAUACUUGAUUCCUUGAUAUCUCAUAAACUCUCCGAUCUGUACAUUAAUUUUUUUAAAAAAAUACUUGAUUUAACUCGAUUCUUAAGUAUAAUUAGGUGCUUAAAUUUUAAAUACUAAUUUUUUUGUAGACUUAAAAAAAAUUAAAAUUUUUAUUAUCUCUCCAACUUAAUCGAUAUUAUCCUCAAUGGAGUAGAAACAUAAAGGGUACAUACAAAG
Molecule: long non-coding RNA, 229 nt
Filed under: Elaeis guineensis (African oil palm)
Lineage: Eukaryota; Viridiplantae; Streptophyta; Magnoliopsida; Arecales; Arecaceae
Description: long non-coding RNA (EGUI_LNC043215)
Source: RNAcentral